Molecule: ribosomal RNA, 497 nt
Filed under: uncultured bacterium
Lineage: Bacteria
Description: partial 16S ribosomal RNA
Rfam family: Bacterial small subunit ribosomal RNA
Source: RNAcentral
GAUGAACGCUGGCGGUGUGCCUAACACAUGCAAGUCGAGCGGCAGCACGAUAAGAGCUUGCUCCUGCUGUUGGCGGCGGGCGGACGAGUGAGACAUGCAUAUGCAACUUAUAUGACUGGGGGGACUACGGCGAACAGGAGCUGAUACCGACUAAUAUCACGAACCGUUGGGCUCAAAAGUUAAAGGAAGUGUUGUUGUCUGUGAGAGAUGCAUCCGUGCUACAUUAGCUAGUUGGUAAGGUAACGGCUUACCAAGGCAACGAUGCAUAGCCGACCUGAGAGGGUGAUCGGCCACACUGGAACUGAGACACGGUCCAGACUCCUACGGGAGGCAGCAGUGGGGAAUCUUACGCAAUGGGCGAAAGCCUGACCGAGCAACGCCGCGUGGGUGAUGAAGGUCUUCGGAUCGUAAAGCUCUGUUAUUAGGAAAGAACAUAAGUAUGAGUAACUGUGCACAUCCUGACGGUACCUAAUGAAUAAGCAACGGCUAACUACGUG